CAGUCGCCACGGUAAUACGAAGGGGGCUAGCGUUGUUCGGAAUUACUGGGCGUAAAGCGCACGUAGGCGGAUAUUUAAGUCAGGGGUGAAAUCCCGCAGCUCAACUGCGGAACUGCCUUUGAUACUGGGUAUCUUGAGUAUGGAAGAGGUUAGUGGAAUUGCGAGUGUAGAGGUGAAAUUCGUAGAUAUUCGCGGGAACACCAGUGGCGAAGGCGGCUAACUGGUCCAUAACUGACGCUGAGGUGCGAAAGCGUGGGGAGCAAACAGGAUUAGAUACCCCCGUAGUCCCUGUCUCUUAUAC
RNAcentral lists this ribosomal RNA (301 nucleotides) under uncultured bacterium. RNAcentral's name for it is "partial 16S ribosomal RNA". It matches the Rfam family "Bacterial small subunit ribosomal RNA", at positions 509 to 807 of the family's 1533-position model. The record is from RNAcentral.